AUUAUACUAAAUUCCCGUAGCAAUGAGCGGGUUUCAUCUGGUUUACGCCUCGUUGCUGCCAGACAAGCAGGGGGCACUGGGCAGAGCCGCACAGGGAAGUGUAAGACCGAAGAAGGAACAAACUCCUCUCGAUUCUCAAAGCCACCGCCGAUGGCCGUCGGCGACGACGCCGCUCCGGCGGCGACCAAGAUCUCCAUCUCCGGCGCGGCUCUCGCGGCGCUCCUCCAGCGCUGCGGUAUGGCCGACGGCGACUGCGACGGCCUCCUCUCCGGGCGCGCCUCAACCACCCCGGCUCCGCCCCCUUCCCUCUCCGACUACGACGACCACGCGCCGGCCCAGUCCGCCCCCGCCAUCUCCCUCUCCAUCUCCGGCCAUUCCUCCCUCUCCCGCCCCUCCUCCCUCUCCGAUCCCCUCGGUCGCUUCCACCCCUCCGCCUCCGCCGCCGCCGCCGGCCCCGCCUCGAUCGGCUUCUUCUCCUCCCGCCGCCGCACCGCCCUCCGCCCCUCCAUGCGCGAGCUCUCCCUCGCCCACUCCCUCUCCAAAUCCCUCGCGCUCGCCCACCCCCUCCUCUUCCUCCUCGUCUCCCCUUCCUCCCCCAACCUCUCUACCCACUCCUACGACCACCGCGCCUUCCUCCUCAUCGGCUCCCGCCUCGUCCCGACCUCGCUCCAUGUCGUCAAUGUCGGCCCCGUCUUCCGGGACCAGUACCACUCCUUCGCUCCCGACUCUCCGAUGCCGUGGCUGCCGCUUGCACAGCACUCCUCGUCGUCGUCGGCGGCAGCAGGCGACGCGCACACCAUUGGGGAGCAGAAUGCGGUGGAUGGGGUGGUGGAUGGGUUCGGGCUAGGGAAGCUGCAGGGGAUCCUGGGCUCCGUGGCGGGGCAGGCGGCGGAGAUGGAUGGCAUGUAUGCAGGAAUGCUCAGGAGGCUGGAGAAGCUUGCCAGGGAGGUGGAGAAGAGCAAUCUCCUUGUGCUUAAGCAGGAAAAUCGGAACCUGCUGUUGAGGUUCAGAUAUGCAGGGUUGGAAUAGCGCCAAUGUUUUAUCGGUCUUAGCAAGGUAAAAACAUACCUUCUCCGACUGGUUGGGAGAUAGAUGGCAAGUACCUUGAUACUACAGAAAAGGACGUAAAAAGCAAUUCGAGAGGUUUAAGCGUGAUUUUGAUGAGUAUGGUGUUAAUCUAAUGUGUGAUUCCUGGACUCGACUGACGGGUAUGACUAUCAUCAACUUUUUGAUAUAUUGCAAUGGAAUAAUGUUUCUUCACAAGUCCAUUGAUGCGACGGGCCAAAGCUAGGAUGCUAACUUCAUAUAGAAGGUGACAAUUUUGAUGCAAGAAAUUUACGUCAUAUGUUAUCAAGUUUCGGGUGAUGGACUUAUUUUUAUUUUGUGAUUUACUAAUGUAGGAGAUAAGGAAUGUGGUAAACGAAGUACAUCCUCAACAUGUCGUGUAGUUUAUCAUUGACAAUGGGUCAAUUUACAAGAAGGCUUGCAUACUACUGCAGCAAGAGUACCCAACUAUUGUGUGGCAACCUUGCAUGGCUCACACAAUUAAUUUGAUGCUUAAGGAUGUUGAAAAAAAAUGCCAAACCAUGAUAUGGUGAUUGAGAGUGCAAAGAAAAUUUGUAGAUGUUUUGUAGCUACGGCAUUGAACCCUUGGACGCACUGCGCAUACAGUGUGACCGUCUUCCAAGACCUCCGUCAGGCCUUCGAGUGGAUGAUGAACAUGGACAUGGCCGCUGCCGUUUUGUUGGAGGUUGAGAUGUAUCGGCGUAAGAGUGACGAAUUUGGGAGGACGCUUGCAAGAAAGAUCUAACGCUUGCAAGAAAGACCUCCGUUUUGUUUGAUGUAUGCUUUUGAUAAUGCAAUAUCAAAAGUCCUAAUGCUUUCGACGUAUCUAGAAUUAUAAAAUGACAUGUUAGUCGGCAUUUGCAGCACAAUGGUGGUCUAUGUUUACAUCAGACACGCCGAAUUUGAAGAAAUUUGUGUUGCGUUUGGUUGGUCAGUAUAACUCUUCAAGUUAAUAUGAUCGGAAUUGUAGCAUAUUUGCAUUCGUACAGACAAAGAUUCGUUACAAAGUUACACACAGCAAGCUCAACAAGCUUGUCUAUGUCAAAUAUAACCUUCGCAGUCGAAAUCAACAAACAAAUGCCAAGUUAGGAAGGACGAUGAUGAUCCCUUUCAAAGUCCAGCGGACCUAUCAUUCUACGACACUAACAAUUAAAUUAGAGACCGAAUGGACAAUGUUUGGUCCAAUUCUUGCCCUGAACUAGAUGAAGACUCAACUGAGAGUGAAUCCCCCAUACCUAGUCCACCUGUAGCCAACCUAGUGGACUUGACUGACCUUCGCAAGACCACAAGGGCGUCUAUUAUUGCUGAGUAGGCUGAUAUGAAUAUGUGACAGUCAUAUUGGAAAAAGAAAGACUCAAUAGCGGCCAAAACCACCUCCAUCUAAAAAAGUGAAGGCCAAAGGUUCAUCAACACGGCCGAGGAGCAUUGAUAGCAACGAAGAGACUCAAGGGAGCCCAGACUACCAAUAGUCCAAUGAUAGUAGCUUAAGAAUUGAUACAAAUGACGGAGACAAUGGUGGUCAAGGAGGCCAAGGCGCCACUGAUGCGCCUUCUAGUGGUCACACAACAAUGUCAGAUGAGGCUAACUUCACUUACGCUACUAAGGACAAGGAUCAUGGUGUUCCAAGUUCUCAACGAACUAACGUUACUCGAGAGGGUGACAACAGCAACAACAGUUUUACACACCAUAACAUAGCUAUAGCUUAUCCAAUAUCUCUAGCUGUUGACGAGAAACACAGUGGCUUGGGAGAUCUGCUUAACUCCAGUGCAGGUGCAAAGCUUGCCUCGAGUGUGCUAAGGGCGUGCCAGCUGGUUUGAUUCUGCAACCAGCAAGGAAACAACAAGCAAAGUUGCCGAUAGCUGAUCGGCUGAUAGGCCGAUGACAUAUCGUUAGUGAUCCUAGCUGAUAUAGUUGGACCAGAUCGGCUAUGGAUUGAUGUAUGAAUUAAGCAUAAACCUUAAAUAUGCCUCAUCGGCUGUAGUAUCAUCAAAUGAGUUUGUCAAGUAUGAGUCGGACGAUACUAUAUGAAUAGUCGAUGAAACAAUAUUUAGAACAAGAUAGAUAGAUAAAGAUAAUAUACCAGCUAAUACUCUAGUACAAACUUAUAUAAACAAAUCAAUCUAUAUAAACAUAUCAAAUCAUGAUCAGUUAAUAAUUUAGAUAACCCAACCGAUACUGAUCUAACUUGAUAUGGUUAUAUAGGAUGAUCUAUCUAUAUAAAUGGCAAAUAUACAUAAAACUAGUACAAGCAGCAUGUAUAUUAGAUAAGAUCGGCUGAAACUCCGAUACUAUCUCUAAUUAUGAUUAAUUCUAGGUUAGUUUUUAGGGUUCUAAACAAGACUAGGGAUGAUGUAUCUCAAAGUAAGUAGAGAAAUCUAAAGUCUAAACAAUCAAGGAAUUAACCACUUUUUAAGAUUGUAGAUGCCUUAGUUAAUCCAAUGCAAUUUAGUCGAUACUGGCAGGAACCCUAAAGCGAGAUAUGACUAAAUUGA
Molecule: non-coding RNA, 3557 nt
Organism: Oryza sativa Japonica Group (Japanese rice)
Lineage: Eukaryota; Viridiplantae; Streptophyta; Magnoliopsida; Poales; Poaceae
Source: RefSeq, a predicted model, not a curated record